Molecule: ribosomal RNA, 408 nt
Filed under: uncultured bacterium
Lineage: Bacteria
Description: partial 16S ribosomal RNA
Rfam family: Bacterial small subunit ribosomal RNA
Source: RNAcentral
AUUGAACGCUGGCGGCAGGCCUAAUACAUGCAAGUCGAACGAAGUGGCGCACGGGUGAGUAAUAUAUAGUUAAUCUGCCCUACACAGAGGAACAACAGAUGGAAACGACUGCUAAUACCUCAUAGUGUAUGAUGAGAGUAUAUCGUAUCAGCUAGUUGGUAAGGUAAUGACUUAUCAAGGCUAUGACGCGUAACUGGUCUGAGAGGAUGAUCAGUCACAUUGGAAAGGGGACAUGGGACAAACUCCUACGGUAGGCAGCAGUAAGGAAUAUUGAGCCAUGGGGGAAACCCUGACGCAGCAACGAAGCUUGGAGGAUCAAACGUCUCGGAGAGUAAACUCCUUUGAUAAGGAAAGCGGUAACUGGUGAAUAAGCACCGGGCAAAUCCGUGGCAGGCGCCGCAGUAAUUC